This is a long non-coding RNA of Sapajus apella (tufted capuchin), 156 nucleotides long. RefSeq lists it as uncharacterized. The record is from RefSeq and is a predicted model, not a curated record. NCBI's taxonomy places the organism in Eukaryota, Metazoa, Chordata, Mammalia, Primates, Cebidae. The transcript has 3 exons.
CGUGGGCUCAGCACGGAGAACAUCCUCAUCCCCAGGCAGAGCGAAACCUGCUCUCCAGGGAGCGAUUAGGGGCAGAGGGCACCUUGGCUCCUCAGCAGCCCAAGGAUGGCACCACCCAGCACCUCCGUUGUUCACAGGGACAUGGAGAAAGCCCCC